This is a long non-coding RNA of Dromaius novaehollandiae (emu), 5327 nucleotides long. RefSeq lists it as uncharacterized. The transcript is spliced from 2 exons. The record is from RefSeq and is a predicted model, not a curated record. Lineage: Eukaryota; Metazoa; Chordata; Aves; Casuariiformes; Dromaiidae.
CCCGCCCCGGCAACAGGGCACCCUGACCACCCCCCCCGCAACAGGGCACCCUGACCACCCCCCCCGCCCCGCCCGGCCCUGCGACCGGACACUUGCCCUUCUCCUGGGCUCACGCAGAGCGAAGGACCUGGUGUUCGCAGUCUGCCUGAAGAAAUGGUGCGGCCUUGCUCGAGAACAAGCCCCUCGCGGAAGAAAAAACAGCUGCCCAGCAAUACAGGUAUACAGUGAGAGUGCACUACUGGGAGAGGGAAGGAAUCGAAGAAGAGCCCAGAGAGAUCCCCUUGGUAAAUCAUUGCUCAGUUUUCUAGCAUACCUUUCAUAUGUACAUUCUUACUCCUCCUCUCCUCUUCAUUCAGCUCCUUCAGGGCACAGUAAGUAGGGUUAAAUGUAAGCAACCUUGGAGAUUUUGGUUUGCAGAAGGGCUGGCACAGCUUCAGGAGGGCAGCUCCCAAAUUCAGGAAGAAGGCAUCUGAGGCAUACAUCUGGAAGAAGAUCUCUGGCAUCUGAUUAGCCCAAAUUUUGGUACGACCUGCGUUAGCAUGGAGACAGUUUCCCAGCCAGGACAGAAUCCUGUGUUUGGUCUCAGGAGACAACUGCAACAGGUUCUUCAGCAGCUGGUAGAUCUUCUCAUGGAACUGGGCCAUAAACUGUUAGAGGGAACAGAAGGUGGUUGAAGGAGUCAUUAUUGAAAGUGGCUCAUUUUCCAUGUUCUGUCAUUUAGGACAGUAGUGCUUUCAAAGUUGGCCUGGGUCCAGACUGCAUCCUACUCUUAAAGGGCAAGAUUUUCAAAGCAAACUAUGGCCAGGACAGCACUAGCAGUCACCUGUCAGGCAGGUGUGAUGAAUGGGUCAAAUCCUGAGGCCAGCAAAGAAUAAUUAGGGACAUACUCAAAAGCAUAGUCAAGAAAGAGCAAGCUGUUUCCAUGGGGAAUAGAACCAAAAUUCUUUACACAUUUUUGGCAUAAAGAAUGACCCCGGAAGAAUGCAUGACUAGGAACCCAAUUCUCUAUGACUAACUUCUGCACACGAGUUUAUUUCCCUGGAGAAUGAGGAUUAUAUUUAUUUCCUAUUUUGUGAUGCUUCACUCCUUAACUUCUGAAAUAUUCUUUAAGAUCCUCCUAACACCAUCCACCUAAGGAGGGAAGCUGUUUACUGUCAUAAUUAGAGAGAAUAUUGCCUGUCACCUUUUCUGCUUGCAAGGUAACAGGACAGUUACUGAAAACUAUUGCACAGUGAUUUCAACAUCUUCAUGUACCAUCCUCUUAAGUUAUGGUGCUGGUAUAUGUUCUACAAGUACCCAGUUCUUUUUAUAAAGCUCAGAAAGCUACUACAGUAAAAUAUAUGUUGCUCUUAAGCAGCACAAAACACUUGAUCAAUACAAAGAGUUUAGCUCACAACAUCCUGAUGAAGCAGGCAACACUAUUCUUAUUUUAGAGAUGGAGAAUCCACAGCUCAGAGCAGUUCUGUAACUUGCUUAGCCGCAAUCCAAACUUUAAAGAGCCAGUGGUUAGAACACAUCUCCUGAAAUCAAGUCUCCUAACUUUAACCCUCAAGUGAAAAGAGAUCAAUAAAAUACAUUAGGAAGCACUAUUGGCACCCACCUGAUGGAUGUUGGACUCCUGAACUUUGAUCUCUUGUGGACUGGAUCGGGAUGGAUUCAAAAAAUAGCCAUGAUUCUCUACUACACCAGGAGUCUUUAACAAGCAGGAGAUAUUUAAAAUGGCACCUAACAAAGUCUUCUGGUACAUCUGUCCAUUAUUAGGAUCCUUGGGCUGAAUAUAAUCUGCAAAAACCUAUGGAACACAGAUGAUGGACAUGCUGACGUUUAUAUCAAAAUCUCAAAAAAAGACCUUAUGGCUUUGGAUCAGGUUAUCAUAAACUAUCAUAAACAAUACUAAGACAAUACUAUUGCAACUGCUUGGGCCCCUUCAUGAUAAAAUAGACCAAAAAGUAACAGUUCCCUAUAGUGCUAAGAAACAUACCUUUGCUAUAUCUUUCUGCUUUGUGAAAUAGAGGAGCAUAUCCAGGUAAGUGUACAGCAGGAUCUGGCAAAGGUCCAGGUCUUUGAUUCUACCCAAUAAAAUAUCAAACACUGGAAUCAUGACUUCCCCAAAUGUCCGUACUUCCUCAUCCACUGUUAAGGCUUCUAUGACCUCCUCCAGGAACUCAGUCAUGUCUUCAAAAUCUAGCAAGAGAAGCAAGACUAUUACUUAGAGUACCCAAUAGAGCCAAACUUCAGUGUGUAUAUACUGCUACCUAAAUAUAGCUCUCCCCCCCCCUUUUUUUUUUCCAAACAAUGAAAAAAGCCAGAUCUUCACCCAAGUCCACAUUUUUCCUGCAAGCUUUAACAAGCUCAAGAUCUUAUCUGCUAUGUUUAUGAAGACAAGAACUGAUAUAUCUUAUCUACUGUGGGCCUAAAUAUUUCUAGAGUAGCUCUGCAAACACCAAGCUUCUGUUAUUCUUUAGUCACAUUUUCCUCAAUGGAGACAGGUGAUCUCACUGUCAUCCAGACUGAGAAUUUUAAACCUUAAAAGGGCUUAACGCAUUAGUUACAGAAAAACGCAACUGGAACAACAAAAUAAACUCACAACAUUAGUGGUCACCUUCGUAAGCUAUCAACUAUCACUAAGGAAUCUAUCAACUUAAUUCAGUCAAACUUACGUGCGCCUCUCAAUGCUUCCAGCAUCAAGUCCACCAGCUGUUCGUACACGUUCUGGUUGACGUAAAUCUCUGGGGUAAGAAGAACAGUGCGAGUGUUCGACACAGUCAGAUUUCGGCACCGCACCGCAAAGGGCAGCAAGUUCUCUGGAACCUUGGUUAUCUGCACAGAAAGAACAAGACACAUUUGUCUCUUGAUGUGGCAACUGCUUAUAUCCACUUCUUGCCAUUAUUUGCCAACUUUGUCACCUCAGACUCCAAAGCAAACUGUAUAACAGUUACCUUCUUUUUCAUGAAUUUCUGCCUACCUCUUCUCUUGCUCUCUGGAAGCAGGCAUAGAGGUAGCGUAGAAUCUGUUUCUCUCCUGCAUCCCUAUCUGCAGAGAGGUUCUGUGUGCUAACAGAUGUCAUGUAAAUCAGGUGAUUUCCAGGCUCCUGUAGCAGCAAGCGAGUAAACAGUGCCUAGACACAGGCAAAAAUACACUGAGAAUAGAACAGUCCCAGUAGAUAAGAAAUUGCUUAAGAAAAGAGAAGCCCCUAUCAUCACAGGCUAAAUUGUUUCUGCCCAGGAUAGCUCUUCAUCCCUUAGUAAGCAACUUAAGAGGGCUAAACAAAGAAUCCUCACACUUACUCAUUUGCUGAACUAACAAUUUCUCCCAUUGCCUUUAAGAGUGACAGCAGUUCUACUGAUUGGAAGUUAUUUUCACCAAAUAAUCAUCAGGAACUGCUCUGACAUCUCUGCACAGGUGAAACUGAAUGCACGCAUGAACACUGAUCAUAAAGUUCUGCGUAGCAGCAUAACAGACGGCACACUGCUCCAGUAUCACUAACAGGAAUGUUUGCCUCCCACAACGGCACACAAUUGUGCUCUCCUGCCCCAUCCAGGUUAAGAGAUUUUCUUCCCCCUCCCCCAAGCCCCCCCACUCCCCUCCAGGAGCAGGAUACAUUUCUGCAGUCACCAGAAGGGGACAGAAUAAGCUAAUUCUAAACCUUUCUAAAUAUCUUAUUCCCAAAAGCCUGUGGCCAUUUCUAGCAAAGCUGCAACUCACUGCUCUGUACUGCACUAUUCAAGAUACAUUAUGCAUGUUUUGCAAGGAAAAAGAAGUCGUAACUACUGUUGCCAGAGGAACCUGACCACCUGAAAACCUUAUUCUUUCACUUUGCUCAAACUGAGAUGUUUCUUAUCAGGGCCCAGUAACUGCAGUUACUGCCUGAUAAAAAAACAAACAGGCACAGAAUUUUGCUGUUCUCAUCUGACAGAAGUCACCAUUCUGCUGCACGUAGGCAGCCUGCAGCUCUCUACAAUGCUGCUCCAAAACAGAUUAUCGAGAGGCAACCAACUGUUAGUAUAACUAAACAAAGAGCUGAGCAAGCUGGUUUUUUUAAAAACAUAGCAUGCAUGAGUGAAGCUCUCCUUGCCUGUCAUUAAUGCUUUAUGACAAUCGCUGUCUUAAAUAGAGGAUAUUAAAUUCCCUAUUUAGAAUUAGGAUUUUGAAAAGAUUCUGCCAGCAAGCAUUAGCGUAUCAUUCAUAGCAUCUACCUUAGCUCUGUUUCGACAGUUAAUCAAUUUAAAGAGAAAGCCAACAUGCAAGAGUACCUGUUCAACGUUUUCCAUGUCGAGCCAGUCCUGGUCAUCGAGAUCUGCAGCCAUUUCUUCCAAAUACACACAACGAGCUGGAAUUCCAUUUCCACUCUUCAUACUGGGAUCACCUGGGAAAAAGUACAGUCAAACUUACUUUACUCAAACUAACACAGAACACACCUACAGACAGUGAAACAGAUACCCAGGAUACUGCCUGUUACAGAGAAGUGCCUGCUACAAGAACCUAUAGUAAAGCAUUUGCUCCCUCCCAGCUUUCCAGUCCCGUUUCAGAUAGGCCUGACAAACUUCUCAGAUGCUUUUUGCACUGUUGCUUAAAACAGGUUUCACUCUGGAAUCUAACAUGACAAUUUUCUUACAACAAACACGUGCUAUGCAAUAUUACAGCCUAUACUGACAGUCUGUUUUCAGGGAAAAAAACCCAUAUAUUUGGAUGUAAGCAAGACCCCAGCCUCUAAGGUAAGCUUUUAUAGUUCAUGUCCUUAUCCUGAAGGGCCUUAUUUGGCAAGAAGAGCAUGAGCUCUUUGGCAUUCUGGGACCAGAGGUGCCAUCCAGGUGCUGUUUUAGAGCCUCUGGAUGACACUUCUGUUUGCCACAUGCAGCCAGAAGACAUUCAGAGGUGCCGAUUCUUGUGGGUUUUGUGUCCCAUUUAGGGGAUGGCAGCAGAAAUGAUCAUCUUUAGCAGUUAUGCAGUAUUAUUCUGAUUCUUAUUAAUGAACUUUGGACCAAUCACUACAGGUGAAAGGCAACCACAUGAGCUCCCAUAAUGGCCUUAGAAAAAUAAGAUAUGCAUCUAUAGAAAUGAAACAGCUGCAUGGUCCUAGGACACAGAUUCUCUCUACUUAACAUAUUUUACAAGCUUUUCCACCGCAAACAAGAAAACAUGUUAAAACACGUGAAAAACAAGAAGUGUUAGAUCUGCAAGGCAGGGGCUGUGCCUUCUGGUGCUUGCCCAAGUGGCAGCACACUGGUGCCAAGUUUUCUCAGGCACCCACGUGCCAUUACAAAGCAAACCGUAGUAAUAAUGGAAAAACAACACAGCACAUCCACAAAAGAGCACUGGAUUCUGCA